RNAcentral lists this unclassified non-coding RNA (305 nucleotides) under plant metagenome. RNAcentral describes it as "partial contains 5.8S ribosomal RNA, internal transcribed spacer 2, and large subunit ribosomal RNA". The stretch from base 1 to 105 matches the Rfam family "5.8S ribosomal RNA", at positions 50 to 154 of the family's 154-position model. The record is from RNAcentral.
GAAAUGCGAUAAGUAAUGUGAAUUGCAGAAUUCAGUGAAUCAUCGAAUCUUUGAACGCACAUUGCGCCCGCCAGUAUUCUGGCGGGCAUGCCUGUUCGAGCGUCAUUUCAACUAUCAAGCCCCCGGCUUGUGUUGGGGACCUGCGGCUGCCCGCAGGCCCUGAAAAACAGUGGCGGGCUCGCUGUCACACCGAGCGUAGUAGCAUACAUUCUCGCUCAGGGCGUGCUGCGGGUUCCGGCCGUUAAACGACCUUCAUAACCCAAGGUUGACCUCGGAUCAGGUAGGAAGACCCGCUGAACUUAAGC